This 447-nucleotide ribosomal RNA is filed under the name uncultured bacterium. RNAcentral describes it as "bacterial SSU rRNA". It matches the Rfam family "Bacterial small subunit ribosomal RNA", at positions 355 to 825 of the family's 1533-position model. The record is from RNAcentral.
UGGGGAAUAUUGGACAAUGGGCGAAAGCCUGACCCAGCAACGCCGCGUGAAGGAUGAAGUAUUUCGGUAUGUAAACUUCGUAAGAAUAGGAAGAAUAAAUGACGGUACUAUUUGUAAGGUCCGGCUAACUACGUGCCAGCAGCCGCGGUAAUACGUAGGGACCAAGCGUUGUUCGGAUUUACUGGGCGUAAAGGGCGCGUAGGCGGUGUGUCAAGUCAGUUGUGAAAUCUCCGGGCUUAACUCGGAACGGUCAGAUGAUACUGCUUUGCUAGAGUGCAGAAGGGGCAAUCGGAAUUCUUGGUGUAGCGGUGAAAUGCGUAGAUAUCAAGAGGAACACCUGAGGUGAAGACGGGUUGCUGGGCUGACACUGACGCUGAGGCGCGAAAGCCAGGGGAGCAAACGGGAUUAGAUACCCAAGUAGUCCCUGAGCGGGCUGGCAAGGCGCAU